This 77-nucleotide transfer RNA is filed under the name Streptomyces cinnamoneus. RNAcentral describes it as "tRNA-Lys". It matches the Rfam family "tRNA". From Rfam's summary of the family: Transfer RNA (tRNA) molecules are approximately 80 nucleotides in length. The record is from RNAcentral. Lineage: Bacteria; Bacillati; Actinomycetota; Actinomycetes; Kitasatosporales; Streptomycetaceae.
GCGCCGCUAGCUCAGUUGGUUAGAGCGGCUGACUCUUAAUCAGCAGGUCCGGGGUUCGAGUCCCUGGUGGCGCACCG